Molecule: ribosomal RNA, 472 nt
Filed under: uncultured bacterium
Lineage: Bacteria
Description: bacterial SSU rRNA
Rfam family: Bacterial small subunit ribosomal RNA
Source: RNAcentral
UGGGGAAUAUUGGACAAUGGGCGAAAGCCUGAUCCAGCAAUGCCGCGUGAGUGAAGAAGGCCUUCGGGUUGUAAAGCUCUUUUGUCAGGGAAGAAACGGUGAGAGCUAAUAUCUUUUGCUAAUGACGGUACCUGAAGAAUAAGCACCGGCUAACUACGUGCCAGCAGCCGCGGUAAUACGUAGGGUGCAAGCGUUAAUCGGAAUUACUGGGCGUAAAGCGUGCGCAGGCGGUUUUGUAAGUCUGAUGUGAAAUCCCCGGGCUCAACCUGGGAAUUGCAUUGGAGACUGCAAGGCUAGAAUCUGGCAGAGGGGGGUAGAAUUCCACGUGUAGCAGUGAAAUGCGUAGAUAUGUGGAGGAACACCGAUGGCGAAGGCAGCCCCCUGGGUCAAGAUUGACGCUCAUGCACGAAAGCGUGGGGAGCAAACAGGAUUAGAUACCCCAGUAGUCCCUGAGCGGGCUGGCAAGGCGCAU